UACGGGGGGUGCGAGCGUUGUCCGGAAUCACUGGGCGUAAAGGGCGCGUAGGUGGUAUCGUAAGUCUGUGGUGAAAGCCCGGGGCUCAACCCCGUGUCUGCCGCGGAGACUGCGAAACUUGAGUACUGUAGAGGCGGGUAGAAUGCCGGGUGUAGCGGUGGAAUGCGUAGAGAUCCGGCAGAAGACCGGUGGCGAAGGCGGCCCGCUGGGCAGUAACUGACACUGAGGCGCGACAGCGUGGGGAGCAAACAGG
This 253-nucleotide ribosomal RNA is filed under the name uncultured bacterium. RNAcentral's name for it is "partial 16S ribosomal RNA". It matches the Rfam family "Bacterial small subunit ribosomal RNA", at positions 524 to 776 of the family's 1533-position model. The record is from RNAcentral.